This 519-nucleotide ribosomal RNA is filed under the name uncultured Pseudomonadota bacterium. RNAcentral describes it as "bacterial SSU rRNA". It matches the Rfam family "Bacterial small subunit ribosomal RNA", at positions 387 to 896 of the family's 1533-position model. The record is from RNAcentral. Lineage: Bacteria; Pseudomonadati; Pseudomonadota.
UGCAGCAACGCCGCGUGAGUGAAGAAGGCCCUUGGGUUGUAAAGCUCUUUAGCCUGGAAAGAAGUGCUCGUAAGUAAACAAUUUACGGGUGUGACGGUACCAGGAGAAUAAGCACCGGCUAAUUUCGUGCCAGCAGCCGCGGUAAUACGAAAGGUGCAAGCGUUACUCGGAAUUACUGGGCGUAAAGCGCGCGUAGGUGGUCUUGUAUGUCGAUUGUGAAAGCCCAGGGCUCAACCUUGGAAUAGCAGCCGAAACUGCAAGACUUGAAUGUUGGAGAGGGUGGGGGAAUACCUAGUGGAGAAGUGAAAUUCGUAGAGAUUAGGUGGAACACCAGAGGCGAAGGCGCCUACCUGGCCAAACAUUGACGCUGAGGCGCGAAAGUGCGGGGAGCAAACAGGAUUAGAUACCCUGGUAGUCCGCACCGUAAACGAUGGACACUAGCCGUUCGAAGCAUUAACCCUUUGAGUGGCGAAGCUAACGCAUUAAGUGUCCCGCCUGGGAAGUACGGUCGCAAGACUA